AGACCGAUGAACGAGUUGAACGAAAGACCGAGUGAACGAAAGACCGAGUUGAACGAAAGACCCAGACCGAUGAACGAGUUGAACGAAAGACAGAGUGAACGAAAGAUCCAGACCGAUGAACGAGUUGAACGAAAGACAGAGUGAACGAAAGAUCCAGACGGAUGAACGAGUUGAACGAAAGACCGAGUGAACGAAAGAUCCAGACAGAUGAACGAGUUGACUGAAAGACUGAGUUGAGUGGCCGCCGCACGAGGCCCGACAGCCGAGCCAGAGCAAGCGGGACAGUCACACACACGCAAAGGCACACAGCUGCUGCUGCAGCCAGAGGC
This is a non-coding RNA of Xyrichtys novacula (pearly razorfish), 329 nucleotides long. NCBI's taxonomy places the organism in Eukaryota, Metazoa, Chordata, Actinopteri, Labriformes, Labridae. The record is from the annotation of a GenBank genome assembly.